GGGCGUGGGGGGACAGGAACCGGAAACGGAUGGGGAGCUGGUCCAGGCUAGGAUCAGAACACAAUAACUUGAUCUGUCAACCUAUUGUGUCAAUCUUGAAACAACAACCUCAUCUGGGGAAGAGGUUGUACUUGUCUGGAGAUUGAAAAGGAGUAGUCCCUGCCCUGUGGGAGGCCCACAUGUGAUGGAAACACACCCAGAGCCUGGAAAACUGUGAGAAGCAAGCAGAGUGCCAAGUAAGCAACUGAGCUUUGAAUGAACUGAUGAUAAAGAAGCAGAGGAGAGUUGGUUAGCACAGGUUCCCCGGCGAUGGGCUUGCCUAGCAUGUGCAAGGCCCUGGGUUCAGUUCCUAAACACCACAAAAACGAAAGUAAAACACACAUACACACACAUACAUAUACCUUUUUUUUUUUUUGUACUGGGGAUUGAUCUCAGGGGCACUUGAUCACUGAGCCACAUCCCCAGCCCUAUUUUGUAUUUUUUUUAGAGACAGGGUCUCAUUGAGUUGCUUAGUGCCUUGCCAUUGCUGAGGCUGGCUUUGAGCUUAUGAUCCUCCUGCCUCAGCCUCCUGAGCCACUGGGAUUACAGACAUGUGUCACUGCACCCGACCAUAUACAUUUUUUAAAAAGGCUACAGAUGUCGUUCAGUACUUGAGUGCUUGCUAACAUGCUCAAGGCCUGGGUUUGACCCCUAGCAUAUGUGUGUGUGUGUGUGUACAUACACUCAUAAAAUAAUGGUUCUUUGGUAGAAGGUAUUUUUUAUUCUUUUUAGUUGUACAUGACAGUAGAAUGUAUUUUGACAUGUUAUACAUACAUGGAGUACAACUGAUAGAAGGUAUUUUUAAACAAGAUUGGUAAAGUAAGGAUGGCCAGCACUGAACAGGUGUUUGUUGAGUACUUAUAAGGACCAGGACCUUGAAUUAUGGAGGGAAAUUGAACAGGGCCUGGCCUAUUACCUACCGAAGUCUAAUUGGGGAGGCAAGAUGUGAAUUUGUGAAGACUCCACUAAGCAUGGUGACAUGCCUUCACUAACCAUCAGAAUCACCUUGUUUAAAAUGCAGAUACUAAGGCCUCACAGCCUCCCUUCUUGUGUGUGGGGUUGGGAAUCUAUCAAAGGGUGGUUUGAGCUUCAUUUUGGAGGCUGGGUAUCAUUUGGAUGAGUGGAAGGGUGGGAAAGUCAUAAUCCAAGUUGACUGGAUGGCUGUUGAAUGAUGUCUGGUUAACUUAAGGAAUCUAUUUGGUUGGGAUUUUAGUAAUGGCAUGUGCACGAUUUUGGUAGUUUUGGUAGGGAAGCCAUUUUGAAAUUGUAAGUGGAAUGGUCAGUUUGGAACAGUGGGUUUGGAUAGGAAUGCUGGGAAAGAAUGGCUUUGCAAUUAACUCCCUUUUCUUCCCUCUUUCUCCCAUUCCUCUGCUCACCUAUAUAUAACAUCUCAUUUCAUCCUUAUAACAGCACUAUGAAGUGGGUAUUAUUAUUCUUAGUAUUUGGAUGAAGAGACUUGAGGCCCUGACCACGGUUGCAUUGCUUGCAAGGCUGUUCUGAGUCUGGUAAUCAUCCUACUCACCACUGAGGAAUCUUGAAUGUGUGAAAGAAAUUGGGCUUGGGCUAAGGGCUUGUAGAAUUAGUGGGGGGGCUGAUAAAACCAUCUAAGGCAAGAUGGGAGUGGGUGGUUGAGAGCAUAGUGUGGGUUCAAAUCCCAGCUUCAUUACUUUCUAACUGUGUGACCCUGGGCAAUUGCUUGAUCUUGCUAAGCCUCAGUCUCCUCGCUUGUAACAUGGGAGCAAUAAUACCCACCUCAUGGGGUUGUUAUGAAGAUCAAUGAAGUGUACGUGGCUUAGAGCAAUUGCUCACCACCUGGAAGCUAUUGUAAUUAGCCUUCGCAGAUCUCUGGGCUGUGGCUGUGCACCUGCAUCUCAUUCAUCAGCACAGUGGUUUCCAGGACACAGCCAUCCUGACUGGACUUGUUUUAAGGAUGACAUUGUGCAGAGAGGAUGCCACCAGUAAAUGUGUAUUGAAACCUACUGUAUGCUCAGCAUGGCCUAGGAACUAGUGACUCAGACUCAUGCCUAAUGGAAGGAGGUUUGGAGUGGGGGAUGGUUGGUGGUUUUGGCUCAUUUUCUCUGGGUGAUGAAUAAAGAGGAAGGAAAUUAAAAGUGGGGAGGAGAAGAGCCUUCAUUAUCAAGAACUGAGGUGAGCUUGGGCCUACUGGACAAUUGAUGGAUUACUAACAUGAUUUCCUAGGUCUCUUCUGAGCCCAGGAAAAUGGUAGUAGGGGCCCUACCCAGCAUAGAUUUCUUCCACUCUGGGCUGAGGGCUGAUGAGACCUCUGUCCUCCUCUAUUCCAGGUGACAGCAGCAUGGCUGUACCCCAGGCUUUCCCACUGGGGCCCCUCCACGAGCCUGUAGGUGCCCUGAUGGAGCCCCAGCUAUGUCCUCAAAGCUUGGCUGAGGGCUUCCUGCAGGAGGAGCUUCGGCUUAAUGCUGAGCUAAGGCAACUGCAGUUUUCAGAGCCUGUGGGCAUCAUCUACAAUCCAGUGGAUUACGCAUGGGAGCCACAUCGCACCUACGUGACUCGUUACUGCCAGGGCCCCAAGGAAGUGCUCUUCCUCGGCAUGAACCCGGGACCUUUUGGCAUGGCUCAGACUGGGGUGCCCUUUGGGGAAGUAAGCAUGGUUCGAGACUGGUUGGGCAUUGGGGGGUCUGUGUCAUCUCCUCCCCAGGAGCAUCCCAAGCGACCAGUGCUGGGACUGGAGUGCCCACAGACAGAGGUGAGCGGUGCCCGAUUCUGGGGCUUUUUCCGGAACCUCUGUGGACAGCCUGAAGUCUUCUUCCGUCACUGCUUUGUCCACAAUCUGUGUCCUCUGCUCUUCCUGGCUCCCAGUGGGCGCAACCUCACCCCUGCUGAGCUGCCUGCAAAGCAGAGAGAACAGCUUCUUGGGAUUUGCGACGCAGCCCUCUGCCGGCAGGUGCAGCUGCUGGGGGUGCGGCUGGUAGUAGGAGUGGGGCGACUGGCAGAGCAGCGGGCACGACGGGCCCUGGCAGGUCUGAUGCCAGAGGUCCAGGUGGAGGGGCUCCUGCAUCCUUCUCCCCGGAGCCCACAGGCCAACAAGGGCUGGGAGGUGGUAGCCAAGGAAAGGCUCAAUGAGUUGGGAUUGCUGCCUCUGCUAACAAAAUGAGUGUCCCUAGGGCCUGGCCUAGGACAGUCAAGGCCCCCAAGUCAUUCUUGCACAGGCAGAUGACUACACACCGCCUGGACUGGUGCAACAGGGCCUUCCUGGGCUUUCUGUUGCCAGGAAACAUGUUCUUUGAUCUGUUGAACUGUCCCCCAGCCUGCAGAGGCAGUCUCUAAUUACCAGGUGUUGGCUCCACAGAAUCAGCAGAAGUAUUCUUUUUGUGAGACUUGUGAACUCUGAUGGAAAAAUGGAUUAACCUCUCUAAGUCUCAGGAUCCUCAUCUGUAAAUGGAGAUACCUCCCUCACGGGGUUGUUUGAGGAUUAACUGAGAAAACACUUGAAGUGCCUUGUGAUGGCCUGGCACUCGGGUGCUCACUACAUAGCUUUCUUGCUUUCUGUCUGGGUUGGGCAGUCAUUGCACUACAGAGGAAACCCCUUUCCACUUUGAAAGCCUGGCUGGGGUCGGGAAGUCUUGCCUACCAGAAAUGGAUCAUGACUUUAUGAAAACCCAACCUGCCAUUCUUCAAUUUAAGCAUUAAAAGUUCCUAAACUCUU
This is an RNA transcript of Marmota monax (woodchuck), 3724 nucleotides long. It is a transcript of the gene named single-strand-selective monofunctional uracil-DNA glycosylase 1, with no coding region annotated. The record is from RefSeq and is a predicted model, not a curated record. The transcript is spliced from 5 exons. NCBI's taxonomy places the organism in Eukaryota, Metazoa, Chordata, Mammalia, Rodentia, Sciuridae.